GCGGAGGAAAAGAAACCAACAGGGAUUGCCCUAGUAACGGCGAGUGAAGCGGCAACAGCUCAAAUUUGAAAUCUGGCCUUCUGGUCCGAAUUGUAAUUUGUAGAGGAUGCUUUUGGUUAGGUACCUUCCGAGUUCCUUGGAACAGGACGCCUUAGAGGGUGAGAGCCCCGUACGGUUGGAUGCCGAGCCUCUGUAAAGCUCCUUCGACGAGUCGAGUAGUUUGGGAAUGCUGCUCUAAAUGGGAGGUAAAUUUCUUCUAAAGCUAAAUACCGGCCAGAGACCGAUAGCGCACAAGUAGAGUGAUCGAAAGAUGAAAAGCACUUUGAAAAGAGGGUUAAAUAGUACGUGAAAUUGUUGAAAGGGAAGGGCUUAUGACCAGACCUUUGCCUUGCGGAUCAUCCGGUGUUCUCACCGGUGCACUUCGCUUGGUUGAGGCCAGCAUCAGUUUCGGCGGCGGGAUAAAGACUUCAGGAAUGUGACUCCCCCGGGAGUGUUAUAGCCUGUUGUGUAAUACCGCCUCCGGGACUGAGGACCGCGCUUCGGCUAGGAUGCUGGCAUAAUGGUCAUCAGCCACCCGUCUUGAAACACGGACCAAGGAGUCGAACAUUUAUGCGAGUUUUUGGGUGUUAAACCCUCAAGCGUAAUGAAAGUGAACGGAGGUGAGAGCCCGUACGGGUGCAUCAUCGACCGAUCCUGAUGUCUUCGGAUGGAUUUGAGUAAGAGCAUAACUGUUCGGACCCGAAAGAUGGUGAACUAUGCGUGGAUAGGGUGAAGCCAGAGGAAACUCUGGUGGAGGCUCGCAGCGGUUCUGACGUGCAAAUCGAUCGUCAAAUCUGCGCAUGGGGGCGAAAGACUAAUCGAACCAUCUAGUAGCU
This 875-nucleotide ribosomal RNA is filed under the name Microdochium dawsoniorum. RNAcentral's name for it is "partial large subunit ribosomal RNA". It matches the Rfam family "Eukaryotic large subunit ribosomal RNA", at positions 50 to 952 of the family's 3401-position model. Lineage: Eukaryota; Fungi; Ascomycota; Sordariomycetes; Xylariales; Microdochiaceae. The record is from RNAcentral.